AAAUGUCUGCUUUCCAUCGUAAUGACCUCAGACAAUCUCGGGAAUGGUUGGAUGAUGAGUGGC
RNAcentral lists this small RNA (63 nucleotides) under Arabidopsis thaliana (thale cress). RNAcentral describes it as "ATSL068590". Lineage: Eukaryota; Viridiplantae; Streptophyta; Magnoliopsida; Brassicales; Brassicaceae. The record is from RNAcentral.